CGGUUGAUCCUGCCGGAGGCUACCGCUAUUGGAGUUCGAUUAAGCCAUGCGAGUCGCGAGUCUUAGGGACUCGGCGUACCGCUCAGUAACACGUGGGUAACCUGCCCUAUGCUGGGGGAUAACCUCGGGAAACUGAGAAUAAUACCCCAUAGUUCACCACGCCUGGAACGGUGGGUGGAUGAAAGCUCCGGCGGCAUAGGAUGGGCCUGCGGCGUAUCAGGUUGUAGGGGGUGUAAUGUACCCUCUAGCCAUCUACGCGUACGGGUGUUGGGAGACAUCGCCCGGAGAUGGAUUCUGAGACACGAAUCCAGACCCUACGGGGUGCAGCAGGCGCGAAAACUUGGCAAUGCGAGCAAUCGUGACCAGGGAACUCCAAGUGCAUCGGGUAAGACCGAUGCUUUUCUUGACUCUUCAAAGGUCUUGGAAUAAGGGGUGGGUAAGGACGGUGCCAGCCGCCGCGGUAAUACCGGCGCCUCAAGUGGUAGUCGCUUUUAUUGGGCCUAAAACGUCCGUAGCCGGUUUGGUACAUUCGUGGGUAAAUCAAGGCGCUCAACGUCUUGAAUUCUGCGAGCACGGCCAGACUUGGGACCGGGUGAGGUGUGGGGUACUCUCAGGGUAGGGGUAAAAUCCUGUCAUCCUGAGAGGACCACCUGUUGCGAAGGCGCCACACUAGAACGGAUCCGACGGUCAGGGACGAAGCCUAGGGGCACGAACCGGAUUAGAUACCCGGGUAGUCCUAGGUGUAAACGCUGUGGACUUGAUGUUGGGAGUGCUCCGAGCACCCUCAGUGUCGAAGCGAAGGUGAUAAGUCCACUGCCUGGGGAGUACGGUCGCAAGGCUGAAACUUAAAGGAAUUGGCGGGGGAGCACUGCAACCUGAGGAUUGUGCGGUUUAAUUGGAUUCA
RNAcentral lists this ribosomal RNA (904 nucleotides) under uncultured marine archaeon. RNAcentral describes it as "bacterial SSU rRNA". It matches the Rfam family "Archaeal small subunit ribosomal RNA", at positions 5 to 914 of the family's 1478-position model. The record is from RNAcentral.